GGGAGGAGGGUCUGCGGUCAGACCAGGUUGAGCGUCUCAAAUUCACCUUCAUGCUGGGGUUUCUCAGACCUUAACGGAGGCGAUGUCCUGGAACUGUCAGUCAACCAUCCAGUGAGCAGAGUCCUCUUCCCGCCUCUGACUUUCUUCGCUCGAUCUCCGAAAUGGCAACGUCUUACUGCUCAUCUCUCCCACAGUUCUAUGUUUGAAUGCCACGCUGUCACUGGAAGCCAUCUUUCCCACUCACUGCCUGACACCACCUGCCCUCAAGUGACUGCAGCUACAUUCACACAGGGAGCACAGAUCUGUUUCUUGGUGUAUCCACUAUUAUGACUGGAUAUUUCUUCUCAUGUAUCCAGCAAAAACAACCCACAUGAAAUCAUAUACUGCUAUAUUUAGUUCAGUCACUGCGAUCCAAGUGUUUGACUUCAUGAACCGCGACUGGAGCAGAAAACAGGGCUUACAGUCUCCGGGGCUUCGCAGCCUUGAUCAAGAGUUUAUGUAACAUCCAGUGGAGCUGAGGAGAGGAGCCUGUGUGACUGUGGAUCAGGAGCAGUGAUCUGUGGAUGAUGCAUUGUGCACAACCCAGGGACUUUUCGCCCGCUGGCUGUAUUGCCGGCUGAGGGUUUCUGACUUUAAAAGACUCAGAUAUGAAGCAAACCUCAGUUACAUCACAGACGACCAAGUGUGUUAGAUAAUGUAUCUCCUAACCAAGGAGGUAUGGAUUUGAUGACUGUUGUAAGCACUAUUAUUAAAAAUGUAAACCAUGAA
Long non-coding RNA from Dicentrarchus labrax (European seabass), 768 nucleotides. RefSeq lists it as uncharacterized. Lineage: Eukaryota; Metazoa; Chordata; Actinopteri; Moronidae. The transcript is spliced from 2 exons. The record is from RefSeq and is a predicted model, not a curated record.